UACGAAGGGGGCUAACGUUGUUCGGAAUUACUGGGCGUAAAGCGCACGUAGGCGGAUUGUUAAGUGAGGGGUGAAAUCCUGGAGCUCAACUCCAGAACUGCCUUUCAUACUGGCAAUCUAGAGUCCGGAAGAGGUAAGUGGAACUCCUAGUGUAGAGGUGGAAUUCGUAGAUAUUAGGAAGAACACCAGUGGCGAAGGCGGCUUACUGGUCCGGUACUGACGCUGAGGUGCGAAAGCGUGGGGAGCAAACAGG
This 253-nucleotide ribosomal RNA is filed under the name uncultured bacterium. RNAcentral describes it as "partial 16S ribosomal RNA". It matches the Rfam family "Bacterial small subunit ribosomal RNA", at positions 524 to 776 of the family's 1533-position model. The record is from RNAcentral.